Molecule: ribosomal RNA, 520 nt
Filed under: Aphanisticus sp. UPOL RK0785
Lineage: Eukaryota; Metazoa; Arthropoda; Insecta; Coleoptera; Buprestidae
Description: partial 16S ribosomal RNA
Rfam family: Bacterial large subunit ribosomal RNA (bases 384-520)
Source: RNAcentral
CAUGUCUUUUUGAGAAUAAUUUAAAGUCUAACCUGCUCUAUGAUUAAUUAAAUGGCCGCGAUAUUCUGAUCGUGCGAAGGUAGCAUAAUCAUUAGUUUUUUUAUUGAAAUCUUGAAUGAAUGGUUGGACGAAAAAAUUACUCUCUCGACUUGUAAUUUGAAUUUAACUUUUAAGUUAAAAGGCUUAAAUUUUUAUAAAAGACGAGAAGACCCUAUAGAGUUUUACAAAUUUAAUUUGAUUAAAUUAAGGAAUUUUAUUUUAAUAAAGUUUGAAUUUGUUUGGUUGGGGUGAUUAAAAAAUUUAAUUAACUUUUUUUAAUAAAAUAAUAUUAAUUAAUAGAAUUUUGAAUAAUAAUUUAUGUUUAAAAGAUAAAUUACCUUAGGGAUAACAGCGUAAUUUUUUUGGAGAGUUCUUAUUGAUAAAAAAGAUUGCGACCUCGAUGUUGGAUUAAAGGUGUUAUUUAAUGAAGAAGUUAAAAAAACUAGUCUGUUCGACUAUUAAAUCUUUACAUGAUCUGAGU